UUUAAAUUGAGAGUUUGAUCCUGGCUCAGGACGAACGCUGGCGGCGUGCCUAACACAUGCAAGUCGAGCGAUGAAACUUCCUUCGGGGAGUGGAUUAGCGGCGGACGGGUGAGUAACACGUGGGUAACCUGCCUCAAAGAGGGGGAUAGCCUCCCGAAAGGGAGAUUAAUACCGCAUAACAUUAUUUUAUGGCAUCAUAAAAUAAUCAAAGGAGCAAUCCGCUUUGAGAUGGACCCGCGGCGCAUUAGCUAGUUGGUGAGGUAAGGGCUCACCAAGGCGACGAUGCGUAGCCGACCUGAGAGGGUGAUCGGCCACAUUGGAACUGAGACACGGUCCAGACUCCUACGGGAGGCAGCAGUGGGGAAUAUUGCGCAAUGGGGGGAACCCUGACGCAGCAACGCCGCGUGAGUGAUGAAGGUUUUCGGAUCGUAAAACUCUGUCUUUAGGGACGAUAAUGACGGUACCUAAGGAGGAAGCCACGGCUAACUACGUGCCAGCAGCCGCGGUAAUACGUAGGUGGCAAGCGUUGUCCGGAUUUACUGGGCGUAAAGAGUAUGUAGGUGGGUGCUUAAGUCAGAUGUGAAAUUCCCGGGCUUAACCUGGGCGCUGCAUUUGAAACUGGGCAUCUAGAGUGCAGGAGAGGAAAGUGGAAUUCCUAGUGUAGCGGUGAAAUGCGUAGAGAUUAGGAAGAACACCAGUGGC
This 702-nucleotide ribosomal RNA is filed under the name Clostridium botulinum C. RNAcentral describes it as "bacterial SSU rRNA". It matches the Rfam family "Bacterial small subunit ribosomal RNA", at positions 1 to 716 of the family's 1533-position model. The record is from RNAcentral. Lineage: Bacteria; Bacillati; Bacillota; Clostridia; Eubacteriales; Clostridiaceae.